This 450-nucleotide ribosomal RNA is filed under the name uncultured bacterium. RNAcentral's name for it is "bacterial SSU rRNA". It matches the Rfam family "Bacterial small subunit ribosomal RNA", at positions 29 to 526 of the family's 1533-position model. The record is from RNAcentral.
AGCGAACGCUGGCGGCAGGCCUAACACAUGCAAGUCGAGCGCCCCGCAAGGGGAGCGGCAGACGGGAGAGUAACACGUGGGAACGUACCCUUCAGUUCGGAACAACCCAGGGAAACUUGGGCUAAUACCGGAUACGUCCGUAAGGAGAAAGAUUUAUCGCUGAAGGAUCGGCCCGCGUCUGAUUAGCUAGUUGGUGAGGUAACGGCUCACCAAGGCGACGAUCAGUAGCUGGUCUGAGAGGAUGAUCAGACUCACUGGGACUGAGACACGGCCCAGACUCCUACGGGAGGCAGCAGUGGGGAAUAUUGGACAAUGGGCGCAAGCCUGAUCCAGCCAUGCCGCGUGGAUGAUGAAGGCCCUAGGGUUGUAAAGUCCUUUCGACGGGGAAGAUAAUGACGGUACCCGUAGAAGAAGCCCCGGCUAACUUCGUGCCAGCCGCCGCCGUAAAAC